GACGAACGCUGGCGGCGUGCUUAACACAUGCAAGUCGAACGGAAAGGCCCUGCUUUUGUGGGGUGCUCGAGUGGCGAACGGGUGAGUAACACGUGAGUAACCUGCCCUUGACUUUGGGAUAACUUCAGGAAACUGGGGCUAAUACCGGAUAGGAGCUCCUGCUGCAUGGUGGGGGUUGGAAAGUUUCGGCGGUUGGGGAUGGACUCGCGGCUUAUCAGCUUGUUGGUGGGGUAGUGGUUUACCAAGGCUUUGACGGGUAGCCGGCCUGAGAGGGUGACCGGCCACAAUGGGACUGAGAUACGGCCCAGACUCCUACGGGAGGCAGCAGUGGGGAAUAUUGCACAAUGGGCGGAAGCCUGAUGCAGCAACGCCGCGUGCGGGAUGACGGCCUUCGGGUUGUAAACCGCUUUCGCCUGUGACGAAGCGUGAGUGACGGUAAUGGGUAAAGAAGCACCGGCUAACUACGUG
This 468-nucleotide ribosomal RNA is filed under the name uncultured bacterium. RNAcentral describes it as "partial 16S ribosomal RNA". It matches the Rfam family "Bacterial small subunit ribosomal RNA", at positions 28 to 507 of the family's 1533-position model. The record is from RNAcentral.